UACGGAGGGGGCUAGCGUUGUUCGGAAUUACUGGGCGUAAAGCGCGCGUAGGCGGCUUUGUAAGUUAGAGGUGAAAGCCCGGAGCUCAACUCCGGAAUUGCCUUUAAGACUGCAUCGCUUGAAUCAUGGAGGGGUGAGUGGAAUUCCGAGUGUAGAGGUGAAAUUCGUAGAUAUUCGGAAGAACACCAGUGGCGAAGGCGACUCACUGGACAUGUAUUGACGCUGAGGUGCGAAAGCGUGGGGAGCAAACAGG
Molecule: ribosomal RNA, 253 nt
Filed under: uncultured bacterium
Lineage: Bacteria
Description: partial 16S ribosomal RNA
Rfam family: Bacterial small subunit ribosomal RNA
Source: RNAcentral